AUUGAACGCUGGCGGCAUGCUUUACACAUGCAAGUCGGACGGCAGCACAGAGAAGCUUGCUUCUUGGGUGGCGAGUGGCGAACGGGUGAGUAACAUAUCGGAACGUACCGAGCAGUGGGGGAUAACUAAUCGAAAGAUUAGCUAAUACCGCAUAUUUUCUGAGGAAGAAAGCAGGGGACCAUUUGGCCUUGCGCUGUUUGAGCGGCCGAUAUCUGAUUAGCUAGUUGGUGGGGUAAAGGCCUACCAAGGCGACGAUCAGUAGCGGGUCUGAGAGGAUGAUCCGCCACACUGGGACUGAGACACGGCCCAGACUCCUACGGGAGGCAGCAGUGGGGAAUUUUGGACAAUGGGCGCAAGCCUGAUCCAGCCAUGCCGCGUGUCUGAAGAAGGCCUUCGGGUUGUAAAGGACUUUUGUCAGGGAAGAAAAGGGCGGGGUUAAUACCCCUGUCUGAUGACGGUACCUGAAGAAUAAGCACCGGCUAACUACGUGCCAGCAGCCGCGGUAAUACGUAGGGUGCGAGCGUUAAUCGGAAUUACUGGGCGUAAAGCGGGCGCAGACGGUUACUUAAGCAGGAUGUGAAAUCCCCGGGCUCAACCUGGGAACUGCGUUCUGAACUGGGUGACUAGAGUGUGUCAGAAGGAGGUAGAAUUCCACGUGUAGCAGUGAAAUGCGUAGAGAUGUGGAGGAAUACCGAUGGCGAAGGCAGCCUCCUGGGAUAACACUGACGUUCAUGCCCGAAAGCGUGGGUAGCAAACAGG
This 759-nucleotide ribosomal RNA is filed under the name uncultured Neisseria sp. RNAcentral's name for it is "bacterial SSU rRNA". It matches the Rfam family "Bacterial small subunit ribosomal RNA", at positions 28 to 776 of the family's 1533-position model. The record is from RNAcentral. Lineage: Bacteria; Pseudomonadati; Pseudomonadota; Betaproteobacteria; Neisseriales; Neisseriaceae.